Small nucleolar RNA from Heterocephalus glaber (naked mole-rat), 73 nucleotides. NCBI's taxonomy places the organism in Eukaryota, Metazoa, Chordata, Mammalia, Rodentia, Bathyergidae. The record is from Ensembl.
GGCCUCGUGUGAUGGAGACAUGCCCGGGGAGGACUGUGACCAACUGGGAUGUAUUCUUACUGUCUGAUGGGCC